GAAAUGCGAUACUUGGUGUGAAUUGCAGAAUCCCGUGAACCAUCGAGUCUUUGAACGCAAGUUGCGCCCGAAGCCAUUAGGCCGAGGGCACGCCUGCCUGGGUGUCACACAUCGUUUCCCCAACGCAAACAUGUAACAAUGUUGCUGCGCGGGGUGUAUGCUUAAACUCAGCGGGUAGCCCCGCCUCGUGGUUGGUUGAAAUCUGGGUUCAUGGCCGACUUCGCCGUGAUAAAAUGGUGGAUGCGCCACGCUCGAGACCAAUCACGUGCGAGCCGGUCAGUUCUGGACCCAUCGACGACCCUUUGCGUGCACGCACGCUCCCAACGAGACCUCAGGUCAGGCGGGGCUACCCGCUGAGUUUAA
This 363-nucleotide unclassified non-coding RNA is filed under the name uncultured fungus. RNAcentral describes it as "sequence contains ITS1". The stretch from base 1 to 107 matches the Rfam family "5.8S ribosomal RNA", at positions 50 to 154 of the family's 154-position model. Lineage: Eukaryota; Fungi. The record is from RNAcentral.